Molecule: long non-coding RNA, 359 nt
Filed under: Lathyrus oleraceus (garden pea)
Lineage: Eukaryota; Viridiplantae; Streptophyta; Magnoliopsida; Fabales; Fabaceae
Description: Pisum sativum (pea) long non-coding RNA (PSAT_LNC017015)
Source: RNAcentral
UCAUUUUGGAGUAGGACAAUAUAAGUAUUAAUAUAAUUUGUUUAAAUUUUAUAGCUAUGUGGGCCUAACGUGCUACCCACGGUCCAUACGGGCUAACCCUAAUGGGUAGCGGGAAUUUUAAGGCUAGGCUAAAAAAAACCUGGAAAAUAUGGUGGAUCCUCAAAAGGGAUCCUCACUUCCCUAAAAGGCGAUCAAAAUGGUGGAUCCUCAAGAAGGAUCCUUGUCCCCCUUAAAGGCGAUGAAAACGUUGGAUACUCGAGAGGAAUCCUUGCUUCCCUUGGAGGAGAUAAAAAAGCUAGAUACUUAGAGACAAUCAAAACGCUAGAUCCUCAAGAUGGAUCCUUGUUGUCCUUAGAUAC